Molecule: ribosomal RNA, 792 nt
Filed under: uncultured archaeon
Lineage: Archaea
Description: bacterial SSU rRNA
Rfam family: Archaeal small subunit ribosomal RNA
Source: RNAcentral
CUGGGUAAAUCGUGUAGCUUAACUAUACGAAUUCCGGGUAGACUGCCAAACUUGAGACCGGGAGAGGCUAGAGGUACUCCUGGGGUAGAGGUGAAAUUCUGUAAUCCUAGGGGGACCACCAGUGGCGAAGGCGUCUAGCUAGAACGGGUCUGACGGUCAGGGACGAAGCCCUGGGGCGCGAACCGGAUUAGAUACCCGGGUAGUCCAGGGUGUAAACGCUGCUUGCUUGAUGUUAGUUGGGCUCCGAGCCCGAUUAGUGUCGGAGAGAAGUUGUUAAGCAAGCUGCCUGGGAAGUACGGUCGCAAGACUGAUACUUAAAGGAAUUGGCGGGGGAGCACAGCAACGGGUGGAGCGUGCGGUUUAAUUGGAUUCAACGCCGGAAAACUCACCGGAGGCGACGGUUACAUGAAGGCCAGGCUGAUGACCUUGCCUGAUUUUCCGAGAGGUGGUGCAUGGCCGCCGUCAGUUCGUACCGUAAGGCGUUCUGUUAAGUCAGAUAACGAACGAGACCCUCAUCUUUAAUUGCUACUAGUAAGUCCGCUUACUGGGCACAUUAGAGAGACCGCUGGCGAUAAGUCAGAGGAAGGCGGGGGCAACGGUAGGUCAGUAUGCCCUGAAUCCUCCGGGCUACACGCGCGCUACAAAGGCUAGGACAAUGAGUUUCAACACCGAGAGGUGAAGGUAAUCUCGAAACCUAGUUAUAGUUCGGAUUGAGGGUUGAAACUCACCCUCAUGAAGCUGGAAUCCGUAGUAAUCGCAGAUCAACAUCCUGCGGUGAAUAUGCCCCUGCUC